UGGGGGAUAUUGCACAAUGGGCGAAAGCCUGAUGCAGCGACGCCGCGUGGGGGAUGAAGGCUUUCGGGUUGUAAACCUCUUUCGCUAUCGAACAAGGCCCGCUUAGGGUGGGUUGAGGGUAGGUGGAGAAGAAGCGCCGGCUAACUACGUGCCAGCAGCCGCGGUAAUACGUAGGGCGCGAGCGUUGUCCGGAAUUAUUGGGCGUAAAGGGCUUGUAGGCGGCUUGUUGCGCCUGCUGUGAAAACGCGGGGCUUAACUUCGCGCGUGCAGUGGGUACGGGCAGGCUUGAGUGUGGUAGGGGUGACUGGAAUUACAGGUGUAGCGGUGGAAUGCGAAGAUAUCUGGAGGAUCACCGAUGGCGAAGGCAGGUCACUGGGCCAUUACUGACGCUGAGGAGCGAAAGCAUGGGUAGCGAACAGG
Molecule: ribosomal RNA, 420 nt
Filed under: bacterium
Lineage: Bacteria
Description: partial 16S ribosomal RNA
Rfam family: Bacterial small subunit ribosomal RNA
Source: RNAcentral